This 729-nucleotide ribosomal RNA is filed under the name uncultured bacterium. RNAcentral describes it as "bacterial SSU rRNA". It matches the Rfam family "Bacterial small subunit ribosomal RNA", at positions 9 to 694 of the family's 1533-position model. The record is from RNAcentral.
GAGUUUGAUCCUGGCUCAGGAUGAACGCCGGCGGUGUGCCUAAUACAUGCAAGUCGUACGCACUGGCCCAACUGAUUGAUGGUGCUUGCACCUGAUUGACGAUGGAUCACCAGUGAGUGGCGGACGGGUGAGUAACACGUAGGUAACCUGCCCCGGAGCGGGGGAUAACAUUUGGAAACAAAUGCUAAUACCGCAUAACAACAAAGGCCACAUGGCUUUUGUUUGAAAGAUGGCUUUGGCUAUCACUCUGGGAUGGACCUGCGGUGCAUUAGCUAGUUGGUAAGGUAACGGCUUACCAAGGCGAUGAUGCAUAGCCGAGUUGAGAGACUGAUCGGCCACAAUGGAACUGAGACACGGUCCAUACUCCUACGGGAGGCAGCAGUAGGGAAUCUUCCACAAUGGGCGCAAGCCUGAUGGAGCAACACCGCGUGAGUGAAGAAGGGUUUCGGCUCGUAAAGCUCUGUUGUUGGAGAAGAACGUGCGUGAGAGUAACUGUUCACGCAGUGACGGUAUCCAACCAGAAAGUCACGGCUAACUACGUGCCAGCAGCCGCGGUAAUACGUAGGUGGCAAGCGUUAUCCGGAUUUAUUGGGCGUAAAGCGAGCGCAGGCGGUUGCUUAGGUCUGAUGUGAAAGCCUUCGGCUUAACCGAAGAAGUGCAUCGGAAACCGGGCGACUUGAGUGCAGAAGAGGACAGUGGAACUCCAUGUGUAGCGGUGAAAUGCGUAGA